UGCGUAGGGACCGAGCGUUGUCCGGAUUCAUUGGGCGUAAAGAGCUCGUAGGCGGCUGCUCAAGUCGAAUGUGAAAACUCGAGGCUCAACCUCGAGCCUGCAUUCGAUACUGGGCGGCUAGAGUCUGGUAGGGGGAUCUGGAAUUCCUGGUGUAGCGGUGGAAUGCGCAGAUAUCAGGAGGAACACCGGUGGCGAAGGCGGGAUCCUGGGCCAGUACUGACGCUGAGGAGCGAAAGCAUGGGGAGCGAACAGG
RNAcentral lists this ribosomal RNA (253 nucleotides) under uncultured bacterium. RNAcentral's name for it is "partial 16S ribosomal RNA". It matches the Rfam family "Bacterial small subunit ribosomal RNA", at positions 524 to 776 of the family's 1533-position model. The record is from RNAcentral.